UACAGAAGGUGCGAGCGUUAAUCGGAAUUACUGGGCGUAAAGGGUGCGUAGGUGGUUUUGUAAGUUAAGUGUGAAAGUCCCGGGCUUAACCUGGGGAUUGCGCCUAAUACUGCAAAGCUAGAGUACUGUAGAGGAAAGUGGAAUUUCCAGUGUAGCGGUGAAAUGCGUAGAUAUUGGAAGGAACAUCAGUGGCGAAGGCGACUUUCUGGACAGAUACUGACACUGAGGCACGAAAGCGUGGGGAGCAAACAGG
RNAcentral lists this ribosomal RNA (253 nucleotides) under uncultured bacterium. RNAcentral's name for it is "partial 16S ribosomal RNA". It matches the Rfam family "Bacterial small subunit ribosomal RNA", at positions 524 to 776 of the family's 1533-position model. The record is from RNAcentral.